This 3177-nucleotide long non-coding RNA is filed under the name Phasianus colchicus (ring-necked pheasant). RNAcentral's name for it is "lncRNA (ENSPCLG00000017772.1)". Lineage: Eukaryota; Metazoa; Chordata; Aves; Galliformes; Phasianidae. The record is from RNAcentral.
UUGGAUCAAUUUGUGGCCGUUUUGGAGCCAUUUGGGGCCAUUUUGGGGCCAUUUUGAGCCAUUUCAGGACAAUUUGGGGCCGUUUUGGGGGCAUUUGUUGCCAUAUGGGGCCAUUUGUUGCCAUUUUUGGGACCAUUUCAUGUCAUUUGUGGCCAUUUGGGGACCGUUUGGGCCAUUUGGUGCCAUAUUGAGCCAUUUUGGGUCUAUUUGGGGCGAUUUGGGGCUGUUUUGGGACCAUUUGUUGCCAUUUUGGGGCCAUAUAGGGCCAUUUUGGUGCCAUUUUGGGAUGAUUUGGGGCUGUUUUGGGGCCAUUUGGGGUGAUUUGUUGCCAUUUGUUGCCAUUUUGGGGCUGUUUUGGGACCAUUUGGUGCCAUUUGGGGCUAUUUGGUGCCAUAUAGGGCCAUUUUGGGUCUAUUUGGGGUGGUUUGGGGUCCAUUUGGGGCGAUUUGGGGCUGUUUGUGGCCAUAUAGAGUCAUUUUGGGGCCAUUUUGGGCCUUUUUGGGGCCACUUGGGGCGAUUUGGGGACAUUUGGUGCCAUUUGUUGCCAUUUUGGGUCCAUAUAGGGCCAUUUUGGUGCCAUUUUGGGACAAUCUGGGGCUGUUUUGGGAUGAUUUGGUGCCAUUUGUUGCCAUUUUGGGGCCAUAUAUAGGGCCAUUUUGGUGCCAUUUUGGGGUGAUUUGUGGUGGUUUGGGGCUGUUUUGGGGCCAUUUGUUGCUGUUUUGGGGGCAUUUGAGGCCAUUUGUUGCGAUAUAGGGCCGUUUGGGGUCCAUUAGGGUAAUUUGGGGCCGUUUGGGGUCCAUUUGUUGCAAUUUUGGGCCGUUUGGGGUCCAUUUGUUGUGAUUUGGGGCCACUUUGGGUCCAUUUGGGGCUGUUUUGCAUCCAUUUGUUGCCAUUUUGGGCCAUUUUGGGUCCAUUUGUUGCGAUUUGGGGCUGUUUGGGGCCGUUUGGGGUCCAUUUGUUGCGAUUUGGGGCAGUUUGGGGUCCAUUUGUUGUUGUUUUGGGACCAUUUGUUGCCAUUUUGGGGCCGUUUUGGGUCCAUUUGUUGCGAUUUGGGGCCGUUUGGGGCCGUUUUGGGUCCAUUUGUUGCGAUUUGGGGCUGUUUGGGGUCCAUUCGUUGCUGUUUUGGGACCAUUUGUUGCAAUUUGUUGCAAUUUGGGGCCGUUUUGGGGCCAUUUUGGUCCAUUUGGGGUCCAUUUGUUGCAAUUUGGGGCCAUUUUGGGGCCAUUUGUUGCGAUUUGGGGCCAUUUGGGGUGCAUUUGUGGCGACUUGGGGCCGUUUGGGGGCCAUUUGUUGCAAUUUGGGCCAUUUGGGGUCCAUUUGUUGCAAUUUGGGCCAUUUGGUGUCCAUUUGUUGCUGUUUUGGGCCCAUUUGUUGCAAUUUGUUGCAAUUUGGGGCCAUUUGGAGUCCAUGUGUUGCUAUUUGGGGCCGUUUUCGGUCCAUUUGUUGCGAUUUUGGGACCAUUUGUUGCGAUUUGGGGCCAUUUUGGGGCCAUUUGUUGCAAUUUGGGGCCGUUCGGGGUCCCUUUGUUGCAAUUUGGGGCCGUUUGGGGUCCAUUUGUUGCAAUUUGGGGCCAUUUGUUGCAAUUUGGGGCCGUUUGGGGCCAUUUGUUGCGAUUUUGGGGCCAUUUGUUGCAAUUUGGGGCCAUUUGGGGGCGAUUUGGGGCUGUUUGGGGCCGUUUGGGUCCAUUUGGGGCCAAUUUGUUGCAAUUUGGGGCCGUUUUGGGUCCAUUUGUUGUGAUUUGGGGCCGUUUGGGGCCAUUUUGGGUCCAUUUGUUGCAACUUGGGGCCAUUUGGGGUCCAUUUGUGGCGAUUUGGGGCCGUUUUGGGUCCAUUUGUGGUGAUUUGGGGCCGUUUUGGGGGCAUUUUGGGGCCAUUUGUUGCAAUUUGGGGCCAUUUGGGGUCCAUCUGUGGCGAUUUGGGGCCAUUUUGGGGCCAUUUGUUGCAACUUGGGGCCUUUUUGGUUCCAUUUGUGGCGAUUCGGGGCCGUUUGGGGUCUAUUUGGGGCCACUUGGGGUCUAUUUGGGGCCACUUGGGGUCUAUGUGGGGCCAUUUGGGGUCUCUUUGUGGCGAUGUGGGGCGGUUUUGGGGCCCACCUGGAGAUGCAGGCCCUGCACCCAGUGCCCCACAGGCCGGUACGCCCCGCUGCCGUUGCUCCACUGGAACUGGAAGAUGUCGUAGCGCCCCGGCGCGUCGCCGUUCUCGUUGAACAUCACCGGCGUGCCGGCGCUGCCUGCGCCAGUACGGACCGGUAUCAACCAGUACGGACCAGUGUAAACCAGUACGGACCGGUGUAAACCAGUACGGACCAGUAUAAACCAGUACGGACCGGUAUAAACCAGUACGGACCGGUAUCAACCAGUACGGACCGGUGUAAACCAGUACGGACCAGUGUAAACCAAUACGAACCGGUAUAAACCAGUAUGGAGCGGUAUAAACCAGUACGGACCAGUAUAAACCAGUACGGAGCGGUAUAAACCAGUACGGAGCGGUAUAAACCAGUACGGACCGGUGUAAACCAGUACGGACCAGUAUCAACCAGUACGGACCGGUGUAAACCAGUACGGAGCAGUAUCAACCAGUACGGACCAGUAUAAACCAGUACGGACCAGUAUCAACCAGUACGGACCGGUGUAAACCAGUACGGACCAGUAUCAACCAGUACGGACCGGUGUAAACCAGUACGGACCGGUAUAAACCAGUACAGACCGGUGUAAACCAGUAUGGACCAGUGUAAACCAGUACGGACCGGUGUAAACCAGUACGGACCAGUAUAAACCAGUAUGGAUCGGUAUAAACCAGUACGGACCAGUGUAAACCAGUACGGACCAGUAUAAACCAGUACAGACCGGUGUAAACCAGUACGGACCGGUGUAAACCAGUACGGACCAGUAUAAACCAGUACGGACCAGUGUAAACCAGUACAGACCGGUGUAAACCAGUACGGACCAGUAUAAACCAGUACGGAGCGGUAUAAACCAAUACGAACCAGUAUAAACCAGUACGGACCAGUAUAAACCAGUACAGACCGGUAUAAACCAGUACGGACCGGUGUAAACCAGUAUGGACCAGUAUAAACCAGUACAGACCAGUGUAAACCAGUACAGACCGGUAUAAACCAGUACGGACCAGUGUAAACCAGUACAGACCAGUGUAAACCAGUACAGACCGGUAUAAACCA